Molecule: ribosomal RNA, 484 nt
Filed under: uncultured bacterium
Lineage: Bacteria
Description: partial 16S ribosomal RNA
Rfam family: Bacterial small subunit ribosomal RNA
Source: RNAcentral
AUUGAACGCUGGCGGCAUGCUUUACACAUGCAAGUCGAACGGCAGCGCGGGCUUCGGCCUGGCGGCGCGUGGCGCACGGGUGAGUAAUGCAUCGGAACGUGCCCCGUAGUGGGGGAUAGCCCGGCGAAAGCAGGAUUACUACCGCAUACGACCUGCGGGUGCAAGCGGGGGACCGAAAGGACUCGCGCUAUUGGAGCGGCCGAUGUGGGUCUGGCUAGUUGGUGGGGUAAAGGCUUACCUAGGCGACGAUCCGUAGCUGGUCUGAGAGGACGACCAGCCACACUGGAACUUAGACACGGCCCAGAGGCCUACGGGAGGCAGCAGUGGGGAAUGUGAGACAAUGGUGGCAACCCUGGUCCAACCAUGCCGCGUGCGGGAAGAAGGCCUUCGGGUUGUAAUCCGCUUUUUUUCGGGAAGAAAUCCUCUGGGCUAAUACCCCGGGGGGAUGACGGUACCGGAAGAAUAAGCACCGGCUAACUACGUG